GGCAGGUUCUUUCGUAUUGGCGUGUUGGUCACCUGGUCAGGUUCGGAAGGAAGCAGCCAAAUCAAUUUCGCUAAGUACCGGAAUGUAGCUUGUCUCC
RNAcentral lists this signal recognition particle RNA (97 nucleotides) under Succinivibrionaceae bacterium. Its description in RNAcentral is "signal recognition particle sRNA small type". It matches the Rfam family "Bacterial small signal recognition particle RNA". Rfam says of the family: The signal recognition particle (SRP) is a universally conserved ribonucleoprotein involved in the co-translational targeting of proteins to membranes. Archaeal SRP consists of a 7S RNA and homologues of the eukaryotic SRP19 and SRP54 proteins. Lineage: Bacteria; Pseudomonadati; Pseudomonadota; Gammaproteobacteria; Aeromonadales; Succinivibrionaceae. The record is from RNAcentral.